GACGAACGCUGGCGGCGUGCCUAAUACAUGCAAGUAGAACGCUGAAGGAGGAGCUUGCUUCUCUGGAUGAGUUGCGAACGGGUGAGUAACGCGUAGGUAACCUGCCUGGUAGCGGGGGAUAACUAUUGGAAACGAUAGCUAAUACCGCAUAAGAGUAGAUGUUGCAUGACAUUUGCUUAAAAGGUGCAAUUGCAUCACUACCAGAUGGACCUGCGUUGUAUUAGCUAGUUGGUGAGGUAACGGCUCACCAAGGCAACGAUACAUAGCCGACCUGAGAGGGUGAUCGGCCACACUGGGACUGAGACACGGCCCAGACUCCUACGGGAGGCAGCAGUAGGGAAUCUUCGGCAAUGGACGGAAGUCUGACCGAGCAACGCCGCGUGAGUGAAGAAGGUUUUCGGAUCGUAAAGCUCUGUUGUAAGAGAAGAACGAGUGUGAGAGUGGAAAGUUUCACACUG
Molecule: ribosomal RNA, 458 nt
Filed under: Streptococcus mitis
Lineage: Bacteria; Bacillati; Bacillota; Bacilli; Lactobacillales; Streptococcaceae
Description: bacterial SSU rRNA
Rfam family: Bacterial small subunit ribosomal RNA
Source: RNAcentral